CUGAAAGAUAAAGGCAAAACCAAAUUAGGCAACCAAAGGACAUAGAAAGUCAUCUUCUUCAAUCUCUAUGCCACCGCCACUGAUGAUCUCGAAGCACCAGUUGCUCACCGGAUAUCAACUUCCCAAUGUCGUAUCUCCAUCAUUUCAGCUGCUUCCACACUCAAACUUGACUCCGGAGAUCGGAAUCUAUGGAGACCUCCCAAUCUGAGAAAAUGCUGCUCUUGGGUGCUGCUAUAAAAUGCUCCAGAUAGGAGCUAUCAACAAUCGAAUACACCACUAAGAACUUCGGAGUCUUGAUUUCGUACCACUUUGGACACCCAUAUGCUCUCACCAUGUGCAUGGGCUUCAGAUUUUUUGGGAUCGUGAAGAACAACACCGUACGGGAUGUCGAAACGAGGACGAUGAGGUUUUGCCGGGAACAAGUUCAGAAUGUCACUGGGUCUGCCGGUGGUGGCGACGGUGAACUGUGCUGAUAACACUGGUGCGAAGAACCUGUACAUCAUUUCCGUGAAAGGGAUCAAGGGAAGGCUUAACUGGUUGCCUUCAGCUUGUGUUGGAGAUAUGGUAAUGGCUACUAUAAAGAAGGGUAAGCCAGAUCUCAGGAAGAAGGUUAUGCCUGCUGUCAUUGUUCGUCAGCGCAAGCCAUGGUGUUAGUUUCGCUCUUUCCGUCCAUCACUAGCCAAGGUUCAUUUGAGUUCGAGGUCACUAGUGAAGUCGGUUGUGGUGGAAUAGCUUAUUUCAGCUCGUCAUUGUCUCAGUCACUGCUCAUAACGAGGCCCUCAACACAUUGCUCAAGCAAAGAAAAUCAUGGUAGCCAUCUCCAUCCACAAGU
Solanum tuberosum (potato) is the source of this 832-nucleotide long non-coding RNA. RefSeq lists it as uncharacterized. The transcript is spliced from 4 exons. Lineage: Eukaryota; Viridiplantae; Streptophyta; Magnoliopsida; Solanales; Solanaceae. The record is from RefSeq and is a predicted model, not a curated record.